This 486-nucleotide ribosomal RNA is filed under the name uncultured bacterium. RNAcentral describes it as "bacterial SSU rRNA". It matches the Rfam family "Bacterial small subunit ribosomal RNA", at positions 28 to 525 of the family's 1533-position model. The record is from RNAcentral.
GAUGAACGCUGGCGGUGUGCUUAACACAUGCAAGUCGAACGAAGUCUAAUAUUUUAGAGCACUGCUUUAAAAUCUUAGUCUGCAGUGGCGGACGGGUGCGUAACGCGUAAGAACUUACCUUUCGGAGGGGGAUAACAAUGGGAAACUGUUGCUAAUACCCCAUAAUGCUGAGGAGCUAAAAGGUGAAUAACCACCGAAAGAGAGGCUUGCGUCUGAUUAGCUAGUUGGUGGGGGUAAUGGCCUCCCAAGGCGACGAUCAGUAGCUGGUCUGAGAGGAUGAUCAGCCACACUGGGACUGAGACACGGCCCAGACUCCUACGGGAGGCAGCAGUGGGGAAUUUUCCGCAAUGGGCGAAAGCCUGACGGAGCAAUACCGCGUGGAGGAUGAAGCAUCGUGGUGUGUAAACUCCUUUUCUCAGAGAAGAAGAUCUGACGGUAUCUGAGGAAUAAGCACUGGCUAACUUCGUGCCAGCAGCCGCGGUAAUU